CUAAAGGCUGGCUGGCUUGCGAUGGCGGUGGGUCAGUCAGCACAUUCCUUGCUGAUGGACCGCUAUCGCAGGCAAGCCAGCUCCCAC
Molecule: non-coding RNA, 87 nt
Filed under: Pseudomonas tolaasii NCPPB 2192
Lineage: Bacteria; Pseudomonadati; Pseudomonadota; Gammaproteobacteria; Pseudomonadales; Pseudomonadaceae
Source: RNAcentral